UUUUUUCUAAAGCAACCUAAAAGUAACAGCUGAUAACUGACAGAAGAAAGAAUGCAAUUACAGAGACACAAGCUGUGAAAAAAUUUGUCAACGCCGACUAUAUGAAAAAUCCGCAAUUACUUUUUGGGCAACCCAAUAAUUAACAUGGGUGUACGCAUGGAAAAGAUUAUAUAUACUGCAAACAUUUUAUGCGUAGAUAUUGUGGCACUUUGAGACAAUAACGUUGUGUAAAAUUUUGUGAAGUUCGGUUGAGAAAUGCGCUUCUAAAACCUCUAGAAGUGAAAAUUGGACGAUGUAUAUGAGGGAGAUUUAUCUAAAUCUGAACCAACUAUCAAAUGCACCAGUAACAUCAAGAGUCAUAAGAGAAACCCUUGUGCAAUAUAUCGUGAGAAUCCGAAAACCAAUGACGAUGUUAUUCACAGAAAAUUUUUUUUGAAGAAAAUCCACGCUUUUACUUGUUUAAAGUUGCUUUAAGGGACGCUGCAAAGGUAAACCGAUAGAGACAGCAAAGAAAGCCAUAUUUUUUGUCGCUCUUUUGAAAUUUCUCUUCGCUAAAAUUUGGCAUUUCAUGAAAAAAUAUACGAGCCAACAUCGAUUCGAAAUUUUUAAAAUUUACUACCCAAAUUCGUAGUCAGUGGCCUCAUCGUUUUCAUCGAAAAGUCAUCUUCAGCGAUGAGGCUCAUUUCUGGCUGAACGGUUUCGUCAAUGUUCAGACAGCAAUCCACACGUACUCUAUGAGUCAUUAUUGCAUCUCAAAAAAAAAAAUUAGGAUUGGGUGCGGUUUAUGGGCCGGCGGUGUCAUUGGGCCAAACUUCUUCCUAGAUAAUCAAAGGCCGCACGUUACAGUGAAUGUGAGUCGCUACCGUUCAAUGAUAAAAGAAUAUUUUUGUCCCCAACUGGAUGAUAUGGAUUUGUUCCAAUAGGACAGCGCGACAAGCCGCGCGAAUGUCACAUCAAUUUAUUGGAAACCAAGUUUAGAGAAGGUGCUAUCUCACGAAAUGUUCUAGUCGAUUGGCCGCCUCGGUCGUGCAAUUUGACGCCGUUAGACUAUUUUCUGUCAAGUCUGUGGUCUAUGCCAACAACCCAGAGACGAUUGAUGAAAUUCGUACGAAUAUGUAACGCGAAAUUGCAGCAGUAUCGGUCGAUUUAUGCUUGAAACCCAUUCAGCGUCUAGACUUCUGCAAGCAUGCCUGUGAUGGACAUGCAAAAGAAAUCGAAUUACAUACAUCAUGGAGACGAACGUGCUUCCACAUAAUAAAGAAUUUCGUUGAUAAACACAA
Molecule: long non-coding RNA, 1280 nt
Organism: Stomoxys calcitrans (stable fly)
Lineage: Eukaryota; Metazoa; Arthropoda; Insecta; Diptera; Muscidae
Exons: 3
Source: RefSeq, a predicted model, not a curated record